UACACUUAGGUGUAGAGCAUAUAAAUUUUUGAAAUUUAAGGGUUAAAUUAUUAUUUAA
Molecule: transfer RNA, 58 nt
Filed under: Cacopsylla burckhardti
Lineage: Eukaryota; Metazoa; Arthropoda; Insecta; Hemiptera; Psyllidae
Description: tRNA-Gln
Source: RNAcentral